AAUUUUCUGAGAUUAUAUUAAUUUUUAAAAUGAACUUAUACUAUUGUUGAAAAUAACAAUAUUUUCUUUAAGACUAAAAGACCCUAGAAUCUUUAAUAAUUAAUUUUUAUAUUUAUUUGAUUGGGGUAAUAUAACUUUUUAAAUUAGUUUAUA
This 153-nucleotide ribosomal RNA is filed under the name Microspalax bulweriae. Its description in RNAcentral is "partial 16S large subunit ribosomal RNA". The record is from RNAcentral. Lineage: Eukaryota; Metazoa; Arthropoda; Arachnida; Sarcoptiformes; Alloptidae.